This 448-nucleotide ribosomal RNA is filed under the name uncultured bacterium. Its description in RNAcentral is "bacterial SSU rRNA". It matches the Rfam family "Bacterial small subunit ribosomal RNA", at positions 46 to 525 of the family's 1533-position model. The record is from RNAcentral.
GGAUUAGGCAUGCAAGUCGUACGAACCUUCGGGUUAGUGGCGAACGGGUGAGUAACACGUGGGUAACCUGCCUCGUAGUGGGGAAUAACUCGCCGAAAGGCGAGCUAAUACCGCAUAACACCCCCGGUGAGAAUCCGGGUGGUAAAAGCUCCGGCGCUACGAGAGGGGCCCGCGGCCGAUUAGCUAGUUGGUGGGGUAAUAGCCUACCAAGGCGACGAUCGGUAGCUGGUCUGAGAGGAUGGUCAGCCACACGGGGACUGAGAUACGGCCCCGACUCCUACGGGAGGCAGCAGCUAAGAAUCUUGCGCAAUGGGCGAAAGCCUGACGCAGCAAUUCCGCGUGGGGGACGAAGGCCCUCGGGUCGUAAACCCCUUUUGUGAGGGAAGAAGUUCUGACGGUACCUCACGAAUAAGACACGGCUAACUACGUGCCAGCAGCCGCGGUAAUA